This 18-nucleotide non-coding RNA is filed under the name Arabidopsis thaliana (thale cress). Lineage: Eukaryota; Viridiplantae; Streptophyta; Magnoliopsida; Brassicales; Brassicaceae. The record is from RNAcentral.
GGCCCAUUAGCUCAGUUG